AACGAACGCUGGCGGCAUGCCUAACACAUGCAAGUCGAACGAAGGCUUCGGCCUUAGUGGCGCACGGGUGCGUAACGCGUGGGAAUCUGCCCCUCGGUUCGGAAUAACAGUUAGAAAUGACUGCUAAUACCGGAUGAUGACUUCGGUCCAAAGAUUUAUCGCCGAGGGAUGAGCCCGCGUAAGAUUAGGUAGUUGGUGGGGUAAAGGCCUACCAAGCCGACGAUCUUUAGCUGGUCUGAGAGGAUGAUCAGCCACACUGGGACUGAGACACGGCCCAGACCCCUACGGGAGGCAGCCGUGGUGAAUAUUGGAAAAUGGGCGAAAGCCUGAUCCAGCAAUGCCGCGUGAGUGAUGAAGGCCUUAGGGUUGUAAAGCUCUUUUACCAGGGAUGAUAAUGACAGUACCUGGAGAAUAAGCUCCGGCUAACUCCGUGCCAGCCGCCGCGGUAA
This 449-nucleotide ribosomal RNA is filed under the name uncultured bacterium. RNAcentral describes it as "partial 16S ribosomal RNA". It matches the Rfam family "Bacterial small subunit ribosomal RNA", at positions 29 to 523 of the family's 1533-position model. The record is from RNAcentral.